CUACGGGUUGCAGCAGUGGGGAAUAUUGGACAAUGGGGGAAACCCUGAUCCAGCAAUGCCGCGUGUGCGAAGAAGGCCUGCGGGUUGUAAAGCACUUUCGGUUGGGAGGACUGCUUCUAGCACUAAUAUUGUUGGAAGUUGACGUUACCUUCAGAAGAAGCACCGGGUAACUCCGUGCCAGCAGCCGCGGUAAUACGGAGGGUGCAAGCGUUAAUCGGAAUUACUGGGCGUAAAGCGCGCGUAGGCGGCUAGAUCAGUCGGGUGUGAAAGCCCCGGGCUUAACCUGGGAACUGCAUCCGAUACUGUCUAGCUUGAGUACAGGAGAGGAGAGUGGAAUUCCACAUGUAGCGGUGAAAUGCGUAGAUAUGUGGAGGAACACCAAUGGCGAAGGCAGCUCUCUGGCCUGAUACUGACGCUGAGGUGCGAAAGCGUGGGGAUCAAACAGGAUUAGAUACCCCAGUAGUC
RNAcentral lists this ribosomal RNA (465 nucleotides) under uncultured bacterium. RNAcentral's name for it is "partial 16S ribosomal RNA". It matches the Rfam family "Bacterial small subunit ribosomal RNA", at positions 339 to 795 of the family's 1533-position model. The record is from RNAcentral.